This 37-nucleotide transfer RNA is filed under the name Dioscorea tokoro. RNAcentral describes it as "partial tRNA-Leu". The record is from RNAcentral. Lineage: Eukaryota; Viridiplantae; Streptophyta; Magnoliopsida; Dioscoreales; Dioscoreaceae.
GUUCAAGUCCCUCUAUCCCCAAAAAGUCCAUUUUACU